RNAcentral lists this ribosomal RNA (895 nucleotides) under Acremonium distortum (nom. ined.). Its description in RNAcentral is "LSU rRNA". It matches the Rfam family "Eukaryotic large subunit ribosomal RNA", at positions 38 to 964 of the family's 3401-position model. Lineage: Eukaryota; Fungi; Ascomycota; Sordariomycetes; Hypocreales; Bionectriaceae. The record is from RNAcentral.
GCAUAUCAAUAAGCGGAGGAAAAGAAACCAACAGGGAUUGCCCUAGUAACGGCGAGUGAAGCGGCAACAGCUCAAAUUUGAAAUCUGGCCCUCGUGGUCCGAGUUGUAAUUUGCAGAGGAUGAUUUGGGCGAGGUGCCUUCCGAGUUCCCUGGAACGGGACGCCAUAGAGGGUGAGAGCCCCGUCUGGUUGGACACCGAGCCUAUGUAAAUCUCCUUCAACGAGUCGAGUAGUUUGGGAAUGCUGCUCUAAAUGGGAGGUACAUGCCUUCUAAAGCUAAAUAUUGGCCAGAGACCGAUAGCGCACAAGUAGAGUGAUCGAAAGAUGAAAAGCACUUUGAAAAGAGGGUUAAAUAGUACGUGAAAUUGUUGAAAGGGAAGCGCUUACGACCAGACUUGGGCUUGGUUGAUCAUCCGGCGUUCUCGCCGGUGCACUCUGCCAGUCCAGGCCAGCAUCAGCUCGUCGCGGGGGAAAAAGGCUUCGGGAAUGUGGCUCCCUCGGGAGUGUUAUAGACCGUUGCGUAAUACCCUGCGGUGGGCUGAGGUUCGCGCAUCUGCUCGGAUGCUGGCGUAAUGGUCAUCAGCGACCCGUCUUGAAACACGGACCAAGGAGUCGUCUUCGUAUGCGAGUGUUCGGGUGUCAAACCCCUACGCGUAAUGAAAGUGAACGCAGGUGAGAGCUUCGGCGCAUCAUCGACCGAUCCUGAUGUUCUCGGAUGGAUUUGAGUAAGAGCAUACGGGGCCGGACCCGAAAGAAGGUGAACUAUGCCUGUGUAGGGUGAAGCCAGAGGAAACUCUGGUGGAGGCUCGCAGCGGUUCUGACGUGCAAAUCGAUCGUCAAACAUGGGCAUGGGGGCGAAAGACUAAUCGAACCUUCUAGUAGCUGGUUUCCGCCGA